This 774-nucleotide ribosomal RNA is filed under the name uncultured Neocallimastigales. Its description in RNAcentral is "partial large subunit ribosomal RNA". It matches the Rfam family "Eukaryotic large subunit ribosomal RNA", at positions 24 to 639 of the family's 3401-position model. The record is from RNAcentral. Lineage: Eukaryota; Fungi; Neocallimastigomycota; Neocallimastigomycetes; Neocallimastigales.
UAUGUGAUCGUCUCUCGCAUAUCAAUAAGCGGAGGAAAAGAAACUAACAAGGAUUCCCCUAGUAACGGCGAGUGAAGCGGGAAGAGCUCAAAUUUGAAAUCUUAAAGGGUUUCCCUUUACGAAUUGUAGUUUAAAGAAGUGUUUUCUGUUGAGGUUUUGGUAAAAGUUCUUUGGAAUAGGACAUCAUAGAGGGUGAGAAUCCCGUAUUUGACCUUUACUUUCAACUUUGUGAUACACUUUCAAAGAGUCGGAUUGUUUGGGAAUGCAGUCCAAAAUGGGUGGUAAAUUUCAUCUAAAGCUAAAUAUUGGCGAGAGACCGAUAGCGAACAAGUACCGUGAGUGAAAGAUGAAAAGAACUUUGAAAAGAGAGUUAAACAGUACGUGAAAUUGUCAAAAGGGAAGCGUUUGACACCAGUGUUGUUUUUCUGAAAAUCAAUUAAAGAACUGUUUAUGCUAAGUUGUUUAGACUUUAUCAGCUAACUGUUUAGUUUUGAGCUUUUCUUUAAUGCACUUUUCAGUUAACAAGUCAACAUCAAUUUCUUUUGCUGUAAAAAAGCUUGAGGAAGGUGGCUUGAGAUUCGUCUUAAGUGUUUAUAGCCUCUUGCCUAUGCAGUCGGAGAGAUUGAGGUCUGCAGCGUAGAUCCUUCGGGGCUAAAUGCAUUUGUGCUAAGUUAUAGCAUUUUAUAGACAACUUGUUGACUAUGAUUUGUCUUGUAGCUUACUCGCUUAUGUUAUUUUACCUACGCUUAGGAUGUUGACGCGCGUGUGUGCGUG